Molecule: ribosomal RNA, 450 nt
Filed under: uncultured bacterium
Lineage: Bacteria
Description: partial 16S ribosomal RNA
Rfam family: Bacterial small subunit ribosomal RNA
Source: RNAcentral
GUGGGGAAUCUUCCGCAAUGGACGAAAGUCUGACGGUGCAACGCCGCGUGAGUGAUGAAGGUCUUCGGAUUGUAAAGCUCUGUUAAUCGGGACGAAAGAGCCUAGUGUGAAUAAUGCUAGGAAGUGACGGUACCGGAAUAGAAAGCCACGGCUAACUACGUGCCAGCAGCCGCGGUAAUACGUAGGUGGCAAGCGUUGUCCGGAAUUAUUGGGCGGAAAGCGCGCGCAGGCGGAUCUGCCAGUCUGUCUUAAAAGUUCGGGGCUUAACCCCGUGAUGGGAUGGAAACUACAGAUCUAGAGUAUCGGAGAGGAAAGUGGAAUUCCUAGUGUAGCGGUGAAAUGCGUAGAUAUUAGGAAGAACACCAGUGGCGAAGGCGACUUUCUGGACGAAAACUGACGCUGAGGCGCGAAAGCCAGGGGAGCGAACGGGAUUAGAUACCCCUGUAGUCC